UCCGUAGGCGGGUAAUUAAGUCAGAGGUGAAAUCCCACAGCUUAACUGUGGAACUGCCUUAGAUACUGGUCAUCUUGAGUUUUAGUGAAGUAGAUAGAAUGUGUAGUGUAGCGGUGAAAUGCAUAGAUAUUACACAGAAUACCGAUUGCGAAGGCAGUCUACUAACUAACAACUGACGCUAAUGGACGAAAGCGUGGGGAGCGAACAGGAUUAGAUACCCUGGUAGUCC
RNAcentral lists this ribosomal RNA (229 nucleotides) under uncultured bacterium. RNAcentral describes it as "partial 16S ribosomal RNA". It matches the Rfam family "Bacterial small subunit ribosomal RNA", at positions 568 to 796 of the family's 1533-position model. The record is from RNAcentral.